AGAGUUUGAUCCUGGCUCAGAACGAACGCUGGCGGCGUGGAUUAGGCAUGCAAGUCGAACGGUAUUUUUCAGAUGGAUCCUUCGGGUGAAGUUUGAUUAAGAGAGUGGCGAACGGGUGAGUAACACGUGGGCAACCUGCCCCUAAGUUUGGGAUAGCCCGCCGAAAGGCGGGGUAAUACCGGAUGUGGUCGCUCCGCGAUUGCGGAGUUGUCUAAAAGUGGGGAUUCUUCGGAACCUAUUGCUUAGGGAUGGGCCCGCGGCCUAUCAGCUUGUUGGUGAGGUAACGGCUCACCAAGGCAGAGACGGGUAGCUGGUCUGAGAGGAUGGUCAGCCACACUGGGACUGAGACACUGCCCAGACUCCUACGGGAGGCUGCAGUCGAGAAUCAUUCACAAUGCGCGAAAGCGUGAUGAUGCGACGCCGCGUGGAGGAUGACGGCCUUCGGGUUGUAAACUCCUGUCAUGAGGGAACAAGGAUACCGGGGUUAACACCCCCGCUAUUUGAUGGUACCUCAAGAGGAAGCCACUGCUAACUCUGUGCCAGCAGCCGCGGUAAUACAGAGGUGGCGAGCGUUGUUCGGAUUUACUGGGCGUAAAGGGUGCGUAGGCGGUUUUGUGUGUCAGAUGUGAAAUCUCACCGUCCAACGGUGAAACUGCAUUUGAAACUGCAGAACUAGAGUACAGGAGGGGAGAGCGGAAUUCUCGGUGUAGCGGUGAAAUGCGUAGAUAUCGAGAAGAACGCCGGUGGCGAAGGCGGCCCUCUGGACUGAUACUGACGCUGAGGCACGAAAGUUGGGGGAGCGAACAGGAUCAGAUACCCUGGUAGUCCCAACCGUAAACGGUGUGCACUUGGUGUGGGUGGGUUUGUCCCCAUCCGUGCCGGAGCUAACGCGUUAAGUGCACCGCCUGGGGAGUACGGUCGCAAGACUAAAACUCAAAGGAAUUGACGGGGGCCCGCACAAGCGGUGGAGCAUGUGGCUUAAUUCGAUGCAACGCGAAGAACCUUACCUGGGCUUGACAUGUAACUGCACGCCCCGUGAAAGCGGGGAAGCCUUCGAGGGUGUUACACAGGUGCUGCAUGGCUGUCGUCAGCUCGUGCCGUGAGGUGUUGGGUUAAGUCCCGCAACGAGCGCAACCCCUGUGGUUAGUUGCCACUUCAGCCGAAAGGUUGGAAGCACUCUAACCAGACUGCCUGUGACAAGCAGGAGGAAGGUGGGGAUGACGUCAAGUCAGUAUGGUCCUUAUGUCAGGGCUGCACACGUGCUACAAUGGGCGGUACAGAACGACGCGAAACCGCGAGGUGGAGCAAAUCGUCAAAGCCGUCCUCAGUUCGGAUUGGAGUCUGCAACUCGACUCCAUGAAGCCGGAAUCGCUAGUAAAGGCGUAUCAGCUACGACGCCUUGAAUACGUUCCCGGGCCUUGUACACACCGCCCGUCACAUCACGAAAGUCGACUGCACCCGAAGUCGCCGAGCCAAUUCAUUUCGGUGAAAGGCAGGUGCCGAAGGUGUGGUUGAUGAUUGGGAUACU
This 1528-nucleotide ribosomal RNA is filed under the name metagenome. RNAcentral's name for it is "bacterial SSU rRNA". It matches the Rfam family "Bacterial small subunit ribosomal RNA". The record is from RNAcentral.